GCGGUGGAGCAUGUGGUUUAUUCGAUGCAACGCGAAGAACCUUACCUACUCUUGACAUCCAGAGAACUUUCCAGAGAUGGAUUGGUGCCUUCGGGAACUCUGAGACAGGUGCUGCAUGGCUGUCGUCAGCUCGUGUUGUGAAAUGUUGGGUUAAGUCCCGCAACGAGCGCAACCCUUAUCCUUGUUUGCCAGCGAGUAAUGUCGGGAACUCCAGGGAGACUGCCGGUGAUAAACCGGAGGAAGGUGGGGACGACGUCAAGUCAUCAUGGCCCUUACGAGUAGGGCUACACACGUGCUACAAUGGCGCAUACAGAGGGCGGCCAACUUGCGAAAGUGAGCGAAUCCCAAAAAGUGCGUCGUAGUCCGGAUUGGAGUCUGCAACUCGACUCCAUGAAGUCGGAAUCGCUAGUAAUCGUGGAUCAGAAUGCCACGGUGAAUACGUUCCCGGGCCUUGUACACACCGCCCCGUCACA
Molecule: ribosomal RNA, 473 nt
Filed under: Vibrio parahaemolyticus
Lineage: Bacteria; Pseudomonadati; Pseudomonadota; Gammaproteobacteria; Vibrionales; Vibrionaceae
Description: bacterial SSU rRNA
Rfam family: Bacterial small subunit ribosomal RNA
Source: RNAcentral